AGGUGUAGCUCACUGAGAAGCAGCCACGAAUCAGUUCUGGUUGGAAGCCAACAUCUUCAUGGAAUUUUCCAAAGUGCAUCGUCAGUUUUUGUAUUAAGAAAACAAUGCACAAACCAGUAGUCCUCAGAGUCUUUUCCAGUGAGUCCACUCUUCACAGCAGGUGGCUAAAUUAUUCGAGCUUAAGCUUCAGCAACCGCUGAAGCACCAGGGAAGUCCCUAGGUGGUGUUUUUUGGCUCUGCACCUAUCUGCCUCGAAAAGUACCCAAAUGGAUGUGAAGUAAAUCGCUGGGCUCCUGUCAACAUCUAAACCAAGGCAUUCCUGCUGCAGAACUUCCAGAACAGUGCAUUUAAAGGAGAGACAUUGCCAUUUUCAACAGGGAGUAUAUAAUGCAUGAAAAGAGGAAGAGCCGCCUGUGAUAAGGCAGCCGUGGACGGCCUGUCCCACUGCUGUCAGUCUGCUGGGAAGUAGAAAGAGGCCGUGCUUGCACUGUGUGCUCAAUCCUCUCGGCCACACUCAGCUGCUGGU
Molecule: long non-coding RNA, 526 nt
Organism: Bos taurus (domestic cattle)
Lineage: Eukaryota; Metazoa; Chordata; Mammalia; Artiodactyla; Bovidae
Source: Ensembl